RNAcentral lists this transfer RNA (73 nucleotides) under Pteropus alecto (black flying fox). It matches the Rfam family "tRNA". Rfam says of the family: Transfer RNA (tRNA) molecules are approximately 80 nucleotides in length. Their secondary structure includes four short double-helical elements and three loops (D, anti-codon, and T loops). The record is from Rfam by way of RNAcentral. Lineage: Eukaryota; Metazoa; Chordata; Mammalia; Chiroptera; Pteropodidae. RNAcentral also lists the same sequence under 1 other name.
GGUUCCAAAGUGUAGCGGUUAGCAUGUCUGCUUUACACGCAGAAGGUCCUGGGUUUGUGCCCCAGUGGAGCCA